GAUGAACGCUAGCGGCAGGCUUAAUACAUGCAAGUCGAGGGGCAGCAUGGUGUAGCAAUACACUGAUGGCGACCGGCAAACGGGUGCGGAACACGUACAGAACCUUCCUUCGAGCGGGGAAUAGCCCAGAGAAAUUUGGAUUAAUACCCCAUAGUAUAGCGGAGAGGCAUCUCUCUGUUAUUAAAGAUUUAUCACUUGAAGAUGGCUGUGCGGCUGAUUAGGUAGUUGGCGGGGUAACGGCCCACCAAGCCCACGAUCAGUAACUGGUGUGAGAGCACGACCAGUCACACGGGCACUGAGACACGGGCCCGACUCCUACGGGAGGCAGCAGUAAGGAAUAUUGGUCAAUGGACGAAAGUCUGAACCAGCCAUGCCGCGUGGAGGAUGAAGGUCCUCUGGAUUGUAAACUUCUUUUUAUAUGGGACGAAAAAGGGUUUUCUAACUCACUUGACGGUACCAUAUGAAUAAGCACCGGCUAACUCCGUGCCAGCAGCCGCGGUAAUACGGAGGGUGCAAGCGUUAUCCGGAUUCACUGGGUUUAAAGGGUGCGUAGGUGGUUGUAAGUCAGUGGUGAAAUCCCCGAGCUUAACUCGGGGAACUGCCAUUGAUACUAUCAGUCUUGAAUACCGUGGAGGUCAGCGGAAUAUGUCAUGUAGCGGUGAAAUGCUUAGAUAUGACAUAGAACACCAAUUGCGAAGGCAGCUGGCUACCCGAAUAUUGACACUGAGGCACGAAAGCGUGGGGAUC
RNAcentral lists this ribosomal RNA (747 nucleotides) under uncultured bacterium. RNAcentral describes it as "bacterial SSU rRNA". It matches the Rfam family "Bacterial small subunit ribosomal RNA", at positions 28 to 769 of the family's 1533-position model. The record is from RNAcentral.